This 76-nucleotide transfer RNA is filed under the name Candidatus Eiseniibacteriota bacterium. Its description in RNAcentral is "tRNA-Phe". It matches the Rfam family "tRNA". Rfam says of the family: Transfer RNA (tRNA) molecules are approximately 80 nucleotides in length. Lineage: Bacteria; Candidatus Eiseniibacteriota. The record is from RNAcentral.
GCGACCUUAGCUCAGCUGGUAGAGCACUAGACUGAAGAUCUGGGUGUCCGCGGUUCGACUCCGCGAGGUCGCACCA